AAGACUCUAGUAAAACAAUUACUCUGCCUUGUCAAGGCAAAAUUGCAAGUGAAAACCUUGCGUGUCUUU
This 69-nucleotide transfer RNA is filed under the name Cynoglossus nanhaiensis. RNAcentral's name for it is "tRNA-Asp". The record is from RNAcentral. Lineage: Eukaryota; Metazoa; Chordata; Actinopteri; Pleuronectiformes; Cynoglossidae.